AUUGAACGCUGGCGGCAGGCCUAACACAUGCAAGUCGAGCGGAUGAAGGGAGCUUGCUCCUGGAUUCAGCGGCGGACGGGUGAGUAAUGCCUAGGAAUCUGCCUGGUAGUGGGGGAUAACGUCCGGAAACGGGCGCUAAUACCGCAUACGUCCUGAGGGAGAAAGUGGGGGAUCUUCGGACCUCACGCUAUCAGAUGAGCCUAGGUCGGAUUAGCUAGUUGGUGGGGUAAAGGCCUACCAAGGCGACGAUCCGUAACUGGUCUGAGAGGAUGAUCAGUCACACUGGAACUGAGACACGGUCCAGACUCCUACGGGAGGCACCAGUGGGGAAUAUUGGACAAUGGGCGAAAGCCUGAUCCAGCCAUGCCGCGUGUGUGAAGAAGGUCUUCGGAUUGUAAAGCACUUUAAGUGGGGAGGAAGGGCAGUAAGUUAAUACCUUGCUGUUUUGACGUUACCAACAGAAUAAGCACCGGCUAACUUCGUG
RNAcentral lists this ribosomal RNA (484 nucleotides) under uncultured bacterium. Its description in RNAcentral is "partial 16S ribosomal RNA". It matches the Rfam family "Bacterial small subunit ribosomal RNA", at positions 30 to 507 of the family's 1533-position model. The record is from RNAcentral.